UGCGCAGGCGGUUCUAUAAGACAGAUGUGAAAUCCCCGGGCUCAACCUGGGAAUGGCAUUUGUGACUGUAGAGCUAGAGUACGGUAGAGGGGGAUGGAAUUCCGCGUGUAGCAGUGAAAUGCGUAGAUAUGCGGAGGAACACCGAUGGCGAAGGCAAUCCCCUGGACCUGUACUGACGCUCAUGCACGAAAGCGUGGGGAGCAAACAGGAUUAGAUACCCUGGUAGUCCACGCCCUAAACGAUGUCAACUGGUUGUUGGGUGCAUUAGUACUCAGUAACGAAGCUAACGCGUGAAGUUGACCGCCUGGGGAGUACGGCCGCAAGGUUGAA
This 330-nucleotide ribosomal RNA is filed under the name uncultured bacterium. RNAcentral describes it as "bacterial SSU rRNA". It matches the Rfam family "Bacterial small subunit ribosomal RNA", at positions 568 to 898 of the family's 1533-position model. The record is from RNAcentral.